CGUAACAAGGUCUCCGUAGGUGAACCUGCGGAGGGAUCAUUACACAAAUAUAAAGGCGGGCUGGAACCCCUCGGGGUUACAGCCUUGCUGAAUUAUUCACCCUUGUCUUUUGCGUACUUCUUGUUUCCUUGGUGGGUUCGCCCACCACUAGGACAAACAUAAACCUUUUGUAAUUGCAAUCAGCGUCAGUAACAAAUUAAUAAUUACAACUUUCAACAACGGAUCUCUUGGUUCUGGCAUCGAUGAAGAACGCAGCGAAAUGCGAUAAGUAAUGUGAAUUGCAGAAUUCAGUGAAUCAUCGAAUCUUUGAACGCACAUUGCGCCCUUUGGUAUUCCAAAGGGCAUGCCUGUUCGAGCGUCAUUUGUACCCUCAAGCUUUGCUUGGUGUUGGGCGUCUUGUCUCUAGCUUUGCUGGAGACUCGCCUUAAAGUAAUUGGCAGCCGGCCUACUGGUUUCGGAGCGCAGCACAAGUCGCACUCUCUAUCAGCAAAGGUCUAGCAUCCAUUAAGCCUUUUUUUCAACUUUUGACCUCGGAUCGGGUAGGGAUACCCGCUGAACUUAAGCAUAUCA
This 570-nucleotide ribosomal RNA is filed under the name uncultured fungus. Its description in RNAcentral is "eukaryotic LSU rRNA". The stretch from base 208 to 361 matches the Rfam family "5.8S ribosomal RNA". The record is from RNAcentral. Lineage: Eukaryota; Fungi.